This 21-nucleotide non-coding RNA is filed under the name Rattus norvegicus (Norway rat). Lineage: Eukaryota; Metazoa; Chordata; Mammalia; Rodentia; Muridae. The record is from RNAcentral.
UGUACGUGUGAAGGGGCUUUG